AUUGCACGCUGGCGGCAGGCCUAACACAUGCAAGUCGAGCGAGCGGCGGACGGGUGAGUAAUGUAUGGGGACUGCCCGAUAGAGGGGGAUAACUACUGGAAACGGUGGCUAAUACCGCAUACUAUCGGAUAACCCAUAUGGGAUUAGCUAGUUGGUGGGGUAAAGGCUCACCUAGGCGACGACCCCGAGCUGGUUUGCGAGGAUGAGCAGCCACAUUGGGACUGAGACACGGCCCAGAAUCCUACGGAGGCAGCAGUGGGGAAUAUUGGACAAUGGGCGCAAGCCUGAUGCAGCCAUGCCGCGUGUAUGAAGAAGGACUUGGGGGCGUAAAGUACUUUCAGCGGGGAGGCGUUACCCGCAGAAGAAGGACCGGCUAACUCCGUGCCAGCAGCCGCGGUAAUAC
Molecule: ribosomal RNA, 403 nt
Filed under: uncultured bacterium
Lineage: Bacteria
Description: partial 16S ribosomal RNA
Rfam family: Bacterial small subunit ribosomal RNA
Source: RNAcentral